GAUGAGCAUGCAUAAUCUGUUCCACAUUCCUUUCUGUGGAUCCUGCUUGGCCCAUGUUAGCAAGAUGAAGCCUGUUACUCCCUUUAAAACCCGGAGGAACCAGUGGGCUUGUGGGAGGCAGGCCCAUAUGAGCUCCGGCCGCCAAGACUACAUUAUGGUUUUUUCCUCCUUCCUCCGCCUUCUCCAAUUCAGUAUCUAACCUCCUAGGGACCAACCCUGUUGUGAUCGCCUGAAAUCCCCUGGUGUCAUAAUCAGUCCCAACAAAAAGGCAAGCCACCGGAGGAGUCAGCCACCCAGAAGAGUUGUUGUGACUUAUCUCUGACCCCCCAGUCUGAUGAUUUUGCAGCAAGUCGACCGUUGGAGGAGAUAGAGUGGGUCCCAAACCACCUUGGGGAGCGUGUUGUUGUGGCUGGGUGGUUGUACCCUCCGCAUCUUGGGUAGAGAUCCGCUGAUACUCUCCGGUGACCCCCGAACGAGAGCACGGCUAGGGAGCACCCUCGGGGCCGACCCGGCCUUGAUGGUAUGUUCAUAGAUCCCUAGGAGUUCUCCCAUUCCUCCCUGGUUGAUCUCUUCCUCUCGAAUCUCACAUCUUGUCUCUGUAUGCCCCAUUUUACCGCAGAAAAGGCAGUAAUUAAUCACCUUCUCGUAUUUGAAUUCAAUGAUAUCUAGCGCCUCUGUAGGGAGUUCGCAUAUCGCUUGGAAUGUCUCAUCCACUCACACUUCCGCAAAGAUUCUGAUGAACCGCCUCCAGCAUCCUUGCUCCAGGCCAGCUCUGUCACAGUUGAUGUAGCGGAAGUCGAGGCUUCCGAUCGUUUUCAUGUUGUCCACCGUUUUAUACUUCUGGGGGAGAUUGUGAAUCCACAUGUCCGCUGUGUGAAAUGGGAUGCUCCUUGGCUCCCCAUUUCCAUCCCAUCUUUUAAGGUUGAGGAAGGUAUUGGCAACGACCCAGGGUCUCUUCUUCCACACGGAGUUCCUCUGCUCCUCCUUCGAGAAAGUGAAGAUGAAGAUAUUUCCCCCUUCGCUCCUGAUGUCUACCUCCCCCGCGUCACUCCAAGGUAUUCUAGUAGCUCCCUUAAUAGUGCUAGUUGUCAUGUUUCGUGUUGUGAGCAUCCGACCCACCAGCAUAAAAGAGCCACUAUGUCCCCUGUUUUCUAUAGGUAUCAAUGAUGAGGAGGCUCCUGGGUGAGGAGACGAUCCAUGGUGAAAGCGAGACUGGUUAGUUUGAGUUGUUUAGCUGAAUCAGAGGAAUCGCUAUUUGUGUGGGCUUCCAGACGUUCUGUACCAUUCCGCUCCAAUAUAAGUUGAAAAGGCUGAGGGAAGUAGUCUUCAAUUUGGUGGUUGGGGACAAGAUGGGUCUUGAUGUCAUAAGUUGAGCCUUCAACCAUAUUGUUCCUGAUUGUGCACUUGCUGCCAUUUUGGUUUCCCAGGACAUGAAUGAAGAUAAACUUGAUUCUUCCCUUCUUUUUUUCUCCUUUUUUCCAUCUUGGUUCCCAUCUAAGCAGUCCCAGCCUCUGUAUUUGUUCCCUAUGGAGUGGUGCUGUAGUUAAUGAGAGCCCUUUUUCUGUAAGUAGAUGAAUGAAUGAAUGAACCCAGGGAUGUUGGUGUUUGGUUUGUCAUUACUGCCUGCUGAGAAUGCUUCCACGUGGGAAGGGUAAAGCUCCUUAGCUGAGGAGAUGAAAGUUCCAAUAACCGUUUAAUUUUAUUCUCUUUAAUUUAAACGGGUCAAUUGAAAUUAUAUUUUUAUAAGUUAAUUGAUAGUUAGUUAUUAUCUCGAG
This 1775-nucleotide long non-coding RNA is filed under the name Linum usitatissimum (flax). Its description in RNAcentral is "long non-coding RNA (LUSI_LNC007420)". The record is from RNAcentral. Lineage: Eukaryota; Viridiplantae; Streptophyta; Magnoliopsida; Malpighiales; Linaceae.